UCGAUUGCUCGGCUGUAUUGAUCGAUCACUAUUCUCGUGAGAUGCACUCGAGCGAUGAAUAGAGCCGAGCGAUCGA
This 76-nucleotide microRNA precursor is filed under the name Spodoptera frugiperda (fall armyworm). RNAcentral describes it as "microRNA sfr-mir-10467 precursor". Lineage: Eukaryota; Metazoa; Arthropoda; Insecta; Lepidoptera; Noctuidae. The record is from miRBase by way of RNAcentral.